This 427-nucleotide ribosomal RNA is filed under the name uncultured bacterium. RNAcentral's name for it is "bacterial SSU rRNA". It matches the Rfam family "Bacterial small subunit ribosomal RNA", at positions 355 to 775 of the family's 1533-position model. The record is from RNAcentral.
UCGAGAAUUUUUCUCAAUGGGGGAAACCCUGAAGGAGCGACGCCGCGUGGAGGAUGAAGGUCUUCGGGUUGUAAACUCCUGUCAUUUGGGAACAAGUUGGACGCCGUAACUGCGCGUCCAUUGAUAGUACCAGAAGAGGAAGAGACGGCUAACUCUGUGCCAGCAGCCGCGGUAAUACAGAGGUCUCAAGCGUUGUUCGGAUUCAUUGGGCGUAAAGGGUGUGUAGGUGGCGCGCUAAGUCGGGUGUGAAAUUUCGGAGCUUAACUCCGAAACUGCAUUCGAUACUGGCGUGCUUGAGGACUGGAGAGGAGACUGGAAUUCAUGGUGUAGCAGUGAAAUGCGUAGAGAUCAUGAGGAAGACCAGUGGCGAAGGCGGGUCUCUGGACAGUUCCUGACACUGAGACACGAAGGCCAGGGGAGCAAACGG